RNAcentral lists this ribosomal RNA (253 nucleotides) under uncultured bacterium. Its description in RNAcentral is "partial 16S ribosomal RNA". It matches the Rfam family "Bacterial small subunit ribosomal RNA", at positions 524 to 776 of the family's 1533-position model. The record is from RNAcentral.
UACGUAGGGGGCUAGCGUUGUCCGGAAUCAUUGGGCGUAAAGAGCGCGUAGGCGGCCAGAUAAGUCCGGUGUGAAAGUCAAAGGCUCAACCUUUGAAUGCCGCUGGAAACUGUCUGGCUAGAGUCCGGGAGGGGCGAGUGGAAUUCCUGGUGUAGCGGUGAAAUGCGCAGAUAUCAGGAGGAACACCGGUGGCGAAGGCGGGUCUCUGGGCAACAACUGACGCUGAGGCGCGAAAGCCAGGGGAGCAAACGGG